RNAcentral lists this ribosomal RNA (253 nucleotides) under uncultured bacterium. Its description in RNAcentral is "partial 16S ribosomal RNA". It matches the Rfam family "Bacterial small subunit ribosomal RNA", at positions 524 to 776 of the family's 1533-position model. The record is from RNAcentral.
UACGUAGGGUGCGAGCGUUACUCGGAAUUACUGGGCGUAAAGCGUGCGCAGGCGGUUUUGUAAGACUGAUGUGAAAUGCCCGGGCUUAACCUGGGAACUGCAUUUGUGACUGCAAGGCUAGAAUCUGGCAGAGGGGGGUAGAAUUCCACGUGUAGCAGUGAAAUGCGUAGAGAUGUGGAGGAACACCGAUGGCGAAGGCAGCCCCCUGGGCUAACACUGACGCUCAUGCACGAAAGCGUGGGGAGCAAACAGG